Molecule: ribosomal RNA, 94 nt
Filed under: Pelusios castaneus (West African mud turtle)
Lineage: Eukaryota; Metazoa; Chordata; Testudines; Pelomedusidae
Source: RNAcentral
CCCCCGAUCUCGUCCGAUCUCGGAAGGUAAACCGCCCCGGGCCUGGCUAGUACUUGGAUGGGUGACCGCCUGGGAAUCCCAGGUGCUGUAGGCA